RNAcentral lists this ribosomal RNA (301 nucleotides) under uncultured bacterium. RNAcentral describes it as "partial 16S ribosomal RNA". It matches the Rfam family "Bacterial small subunit ribosomal RNA", at positions 509 to 807 of the family's 1533-position model. The record is from RNAcentral.
CAGCCGCCGCGGGAAUACGAAGGGUGCAAGCGUUACUCGGAAUUACUGGGCGUAAAGCGUGCGUAGGUGGUGGUUUAAGUCCGUUGUGAAAGCCCUGGGCUCAACCUGGGAAUUGCAGUGGAUACUGGGUCACUAGAGUGUGGUAGAGGAUAGUGGAAUUUCCGGUGUAGCAGUGAAAUGCGUAGAGAUCGGAAGGAACAUCUGUGGCGAAGGCGACUAUCUGGGCCAACACUGACACUGAGGCACGAAAGCGUGGGGAGCAAACAGGAUUAGAGACCCCGGUAGUCCCUGUCUCUUAUAC